Molecule: ribosomal RNA, 459 nt
Filed under: uncultured bacterium
Lineage: Bacteria
Description: partial 16S ribosomal RNA
Rfam family: Bacterial small subunit ribosomal RNA
Source: RNAcentral
CCUACGGGAGGCAGCAGUGAGGAAUAUUGGUCAAUGGACGCGAGUCUGAACCAGCCAAGUAGCGUGAAGGAUGACUGCCCUAUGGGUUGUAAACUUCUUUUAUGUGGGAAUAAACUGUUCCACGUGUGGGAUUUUGUAUGUACCGUAUGAAUAAGGAUCGGCUAAUUCCGUGCCAGCAGCCGCGGUAAUACGGAGGAUCCGAGCGUUAUCCGGAUUUAUUGGGUUUAAAGGGAGCGUAGGUGGAUGGUUAAGUCAGCGGUCAAAUGUCGGUGCUCAACACCGGCCUGCCGUUGAAACUGGUCUGCUUGAGUGAGCUAGAGGUAUGCGGAAUGCGUGGUGUAGCGGUGAAAUGCAUAGAUAUCACGCAGAACUCCGAUUGCGAAGGCAGCAUACCGGCGCUCAACUGACGCUGAGGCACGAAGGCGUGGGGAUCGAACAGGAUUAGAUACCCUGGUAGUC